Molecule: ribosomal RNA, 447 nt
Filed under: uncultured bacterium
Lineage: Bacteria
Description: bacterial SSU rRNA
Rfam family: Bacterial small subunit ribosomal RNA
Source: RNAcentral
GUAAGGAAUAUUGCGCAAUGGUCGCAAGACUGACGCAGCAACGCCGCGUGGGUGAUGAAGUUCUAAGGAAUGUAAAGCCCUGUUAGAAGGGACGAACCGUAUGAAGCGCAACUUCAUACCUGACGGUACCUUCAGAGAAAGCCCCGGCUAACUCCGUGCCAGCAGCCGCGGUAAUACGGGGGGGGCAAGCGUUGUCCGGAAUCACUGGGCGUAAAGGGCGUGUAGGUGGGAUGAUAAGUUAGGGGUGAAAACUAGCAGCUUAACUGUUAGCUUGCCUUUAAGACUGUCGUUCUUGAGUUCGGAAAAGGGAAGUGGAAUUCUUGGUGUAGCGGUGAAAUGCGUAGAUAUCAAGAAGAACACCGGUAGCGAAGGCGGCUUCCUGGUCCGAUACUGACACUGAGGCGCGAAAGCGUGGGGAGCAAACAGGAUUAGAAACCCCAGUAGUCC